AUUGAACGCUGGCGGCAGGCCUAACACAUGCAAGUCGAGCGGAUGAAGGGAGCUUGCUCCUGGAUUCAGCGGCGGACGGGUGAGUAAUGCCUAGGAAUCUGCCUGGUAGUGGGGGAUAACGUCCGGAAACGGGCGCUAAUACCGCAUACGUCCUGAGGGAGAAAGUGGGUGAUCUUCGGACCUCACGCUAUCAGAUGAGCCUAGGUCGGAUUAGCUAGUUGGUGGGGUAAAGGCCUACCAAGGCGACGAUCCGUAACUGGUCUGAGAGGAUGAUCAGUCACACUGGAAGUGAGACACGGUCCAGAGUCCUACGGGAGGCAGCAGUGGGGAAUAUUGGACAAUGGGCGAAAGCCUGACCCAGCCAUGCCGCGUGUGUGAAGAAGGUCUUCGGAUUGUAAAGCACUUUAAGUUGGGAGGAAGGGCAGUAAGUUAAUACCUUGCCGUUUUGACGUUACCAACAGAAUAAGCACCGGCUAACUUCGUG
Molecule: ribosomal RNA, 484 nt
Filed under: uncultured bacterium
Lineage: Bacteria
Description: partial 16S ribosomal RNA
Rfam family: Bacterial small subunit ribosomal RNA
Source: RNAcentral